This 24-nucleotide non-coding RNA is filed under the name Cricetulus griseus (Chinese hamster). The record is from RNAcentral. Lineage: Eukaryota; Metazoa; Chordata; Mammalia; Rodentia; Cricetidae.
UCCGAGACCCUUUUAAAACUGACU